RNAcentral lists this long non-coding RNA (337 nucleotides) under Gallus gallus (chicken). The record is from RNAcentral. Lineage: Eukaryota; Metazoa; Chordata; Aves; Galliformes; Phasianidae.
AUUUAAAACACCAAAGUUUCUGAACGCAGAUUGCUUCAAGUUGCAGAGCAGGAGUUUUACCCAUGUUGUAAGGCUGGAGUGGAAGAUGUAAAGCUGUUGCCAUGUGGCUUUUUGCAAAAGCCACACUGCUUGUUGGGCACCCAAACAUGUUUGCUUUCACUAGCAGGGGUAUGCUCCAAGCCUUCCCUUUUAACAGUUGAAAUGUUAUCUGGAAUGAACAACGGGGGUUCAUCAAGUGAAAGACUUUUGCUACUUCUUCUCUGGCGAGGUUGAAGAUUCUUAUCAGUUCUUUUUGGUUUGUUUUUUUCUUUAUCAUCCUCCUUCACAUGUUCUACCA